UGUGUACUGUUGUUGUGGUCUUAAGAUGGGUUGUUUUGUUAUGACGUAUUGUUCAAUAUUGAAUAUCCCGUUAGAUCUUUCUUCUUCACAACUUUCUUUUGUUUGCAUAGUAUAAUUUUACCCUGGUGGGGUUCGUGUUGCUCAGUCUAGUUUUCUAUGUUGUGUUUUGUAUACUGUUGUUGUCUGAAGAUGUUGUUUUUUUUUGUCACAUCGUUUGUUUGUCAUGGACUUAUGCACGACUUUGAAUAUCCCUUUGGGAUUUUCCGCUUAUCUUUUUUCUUCAUUAUUUUGAAUAUGGUAUACUACUCUGGUGCAUCCUCUGUUGCGCUUCCAAUUGUUUCUCAAAUUCUUAUCACUGAACCAUUUCCUCCAUUCUUGGCGUUUAACGGGUUCGUGGUCUUUUCUAGCUUAAAGUUUGUAUCCUCAGUGUAUUUCCUUACACUUUCCCAUAUACUAUGGUAUUUAACAUACACCUUAACCUUACUUAAUAAAAUACUCAAUUGAAAUAUUUGACUCAUAAGCUAAUAAUGGAGUGUUUUAUAUUAAAUAUGAUUGAAAAUCAAAU
This 565-nucleotide long non-coding RNA is filed under the name Mytilus galloprovincialis (Mediterranean mussel). The record is from RNAcentral. Lineage: Eukaryota; Metazoa; Mollusca; Bivalvia; Mytilida; Mytilidae.